Molecule: ribosomal RNA, 440 nt
Filed under: uncultured bacterium
Lineage: Bacteria
Description: bacterial SSU rRNA
Rfam family: Bacterial small subunit ribosomal RNA
Source: RNAcentral
GAUGAACGCUAGCGGCAGGCUUAACACAUGCAAGUCGAGGGGUAUAGUUCUUCGGAAUUAGAGACCGGCGCACGGGUGCGUAACGCGUAUGCAAUCUACCUUUCACAGAGGGAUAGCCCCAGAGAAAUUUGGAUUAAUACCUCAUAGUAUAGCAGUUUCGCAUGAAACCACUAUUAAAGUCACAACGGUGAAAGAUGAGCAUGCGUCCCAUUAGCUAGUUGGUAAGGUAACGGCUUACCAAGGCAACGAUGGGUAGGGGUCCUGAGAGGGAGAUCCCCCACACUGGUACUGAGACACGGACCAGACUCCUACGGGAGGCAGCAGUGAGGAAUUUUGGACAAUGGGCGCAAGCCUGAUCCAGCAAUGCCGCGUGCAGGAUGAAGGCCUUCGGGUUGGUUAAACUAGUCUUUCGUACGGUAACGAAACGGUAGGAGACGUCU